This 440-nucleotide ribosomal RNA is filed under the name uncultured bacterium. RNAcentral describes it as "bacterial SSU rRNA". It matches the Rfam family "Bacterial small subunit ribosomal RNA", at positions 338 to 795 of the family's 1533-position model. The record is from RNAcentral.
CCUACGGGGGGCACCAGUGGGGAACAUUGGACAAUGGGCGAAAGCCUGAUCCAGCAAUGCCGCGUGUGUGAAGAAGGUCUUCGGAUUGUAAAGCACUUUCGACGGGGACGAUGAUGACGGUACCCGUAGAAGAAGCCCCGGCUAACUUCGUGCCAGCAGCCGCGGUAAUACGAAGGGGGCUAGCGUUGCUCGGAAUGACCGGGCGUAAAGGGCGCGUAGGCGGUUUAUGCAGUCAGAUGUAAAAUCCCCGGGCUUAACCUGGGAACUGCAUUUGAGACGCAUAGACUAGAGGUCGGGAGAGGGUUGUGGAAUUCCCAGUGUAGAGGUGAAAUUCGUAGAUAUUGGGAUGAACACCGGUGGCGAAGGCGGCAACCUGGCUCGAUACUGACGCUGAGGCGCGAAAGCGUGGGGAGCAAACAGGAUUAGAUACCCUCGUAGUC